AGGUGCUUUAUUUCCUUCCUUUUUUUGCUGAUAAUCAUGUUCUACUUCAUUUGGAGAAGAAUGGUCAGACACAAGAUUUAUCUAGUGUUCAAGAACCCUUUCAUCUGCAUGCAUAAAAUUAAAAAGAGAGGAGAAAUCUGGUCUGUGGGAUGAAGCAAAUAAAUACAGGGCAACGUGUGCGUGACCCACGAUCCAGUCGUGUCGAGUGGGGGACCUGGUGUGCCUUCAGUGGAAACAGCCUCUAAAAUACAUCUACAAUCAUGACAGAGAAGUGUAUCCUCUUCCCCAAUGAAGUUGUCCUCAUUUCCAGCAUGUGAAGUUUGGAAGCCUGAUCCUCUGAGAAGCUGCAGUUCAUGGCCCUUGGGCUGACAAUGAGAAUUUGGACACUUCUGCCUACUUUUGCCUAAGCCUGGAGCA
Molecule: long non-coding RNA, 417 nt
Organism: Hirundo rustica (Barn swallow)
Lineage: Eukaryota; Metazoa; Chordata; Aves; Passeriformes; Hirundinidae
Exons: 3
Source: RefSeq, a predicted model, not a curated record